This 253-nucleotide ribosomal RNA is filed under the name uncultured bacterium. RNAcentral's name for it is "partial 16S ribosomal RNA". It matches the Rfam family "Bacterial small subunit ribosomal RNA", at positions 524 to 776 of the family's 1533-position model. The record is from RNAcentral.
UACGGAGGGUGCAAGCGUUAUCCGGAUUCACUGGGUUUAAAGGGUGCGUAGGUGGGCAGGUAAGUCAGUGGUGAAAUCUCCGAGCUUAACUCGGAAACUGCCGUUGAUAUUAUUUGUCUUGAAUAUUGUGGAGGUAAGCGGAAUAUGUCAUGUAGCGGUGAAAUGCUUAGAUAUGACAUAGAACACCAAUUGCGAAGGCAGCUUACUACACAACGAUUGACGCUGAGGCACGAAAGCGUGGGGAUCAAACAGG